CCCCAUGCCUCCCCCAUCCUCCCCCAUGCCUCCCCCAUCCUCCCCCAUGCCUCCCCCAUCCCCCCACAGUGAUAUCCCAGUCCCAGCAGCACCACCCAGACGUACAGAGCCUGCCCAAUCCCUCUCUAGUGUUUAACCUUUCCCACCCAGGGUUCACUGGCCACGUCCAGAUGAUCAACUCUCCACCAUACAGUGGUAUCACUCUGCCUACAAGCCUUUGCCAGGUGAUGCAAUUUCCAGCAUUAGAUGACAACCAAGCUCUAACAGUAACCAAUCAGAAUGGAGACAUUUCAUCAUCAAGAACUCCUGCAGGAACCCUUGAAUUUGAUCUCCAUAGUGGAUCCCAGGACUUGCAUGGCAAUCCAGUGAGAGUCAUGCAAGAUGACAGCUUCCUACACGUCAAUGCUGCAGAUCGCUGUCCGAGCCAGCUGUCCUGUAUCUACACCGAGGGCUGACAUCUCCCCUGUCUUAGAGGAAAAUAUGUAUCAGAAAAGAAAGGAUUUGUCUUCUGAAGAUAACCAUUGC
Molecule: long non-coding RNA, 525 nt
Organism: Osmerus eperlanus (European smelt)
Lineage: Eukaryota; Metazoa; Chordata; Actinopteri; Osmeriformes; Osmeridae
Exons: 3
Source: RefSeq, a predicted model, not a curated record